GUGGGAGUCGUCUAGUGGUUAUGGUAUCUGCUUUACAUUCACACGUGUAUUGCGCAGAAGGGCCCCGGUUCAAUACCGAGCUUCCGUA
Paraphaeosphaeria sporulosa is the source of this 88-nucleotide non-coding RNA. The record is from the annotation of a RefSeq genome assembly. NCBI's taxonomy places the organism in Eukaryota, Fungi, Ascomycota, Dothideomycetes, Pleosporales, Didymosphaeriaceae.